RNAcentral lists this ribosomal RNA (460 nucleotides) under uncultured bacterium. Its description in RNAcentral is "partial 16S ribosomal RNA". It matches the Rfam family "Bacterial small subunit ribosomal RNA", at positions 338 to 795 of the family's 1533-position model. The record is from RNAcentral.
CCUACGGGAGGCAGCAGUGAGGAAUAUUGGUCAAUGGACGAGAGUCUGAAACAGCCAAGUAGCGUGAAGGAUGACUGCCCGAUGGGUUGUAAACUUCUUUUAUAUGGGAAUAAAAUGUUCCAAGUGUGGGCUUUUGUAUGUACCAUAUGAAUAAGGAUAGGCUAACUCCGUGCCAGCAGCCGCGGUAAUACGGAGGAUCCGAGCGUUAUCCGGAUUUAUUGGGGUUAAGGGGGGGGUAGGUGGGUUGUUAGGUCAGUUGUGAAAGUUUGCGGAUCAACCGUAAAAUUUCAAUUGAAACUGGCAGUCUUGAGUACAGUAGAGGUGGGCGGAAUUCGUGGUGUAGCGGUGAAAUGCUUAGAUAUCACGAAGAACUCCGAUUGCGAAGGCAGCUCACUGGACUGCAACUGACACUGAGGCUCGAAAGUGUGGGUAUCAAACAGGAUUAGAUACCCGGGUAGUC